This 253-nucleotide ribosomal RNA is filed under the name uncultured bacterium. Its description in RNAcentral is "partial 16S ribosomal RNA". It matches the Rfam family "Bacterial small subunit ribosomal RNA", at positions 524 to 776 of the family's 1533-position model. The record is from RNAcentral.
UACGUAGGGUGCGAGCGUUGUCCGGAAUUAUUGGGCGUAAAGAGCUCGUAGGCGGUUUGUUGCGUCGGCCGUGAAAACCUGCAGCUUAACUGUGGGCCUGCGGCCGAUACGGGCAGACUUGAGUUCGGUAGGGGAGACUGGAAUUCCUGGUGUAGCGGUGAAAUGCGCAGAUAUCAGGAAGAACACCGGUGGCGAAGGCGGGUCUCUGGGCCACUACUGACGCUGAGGAGCGAAAGCGUGGGGAGCGAACAGG